AGGACGAACGCUGGCGGCGUGCUUAACACAUGCAAGUCGAACGAGGAUAUACCAGAGGAGAGCUUCGGCAGGAAUCAGGUAUAUUCGAGUGGCGGACGGGUGAGUAACGCGUGAGCAACCUGUCCCAGACAGGGGGAUAACACUUGGAAACAGGUGCUAAUACCGCAUAAGACCACGGUAUCACAUGGUAGUGGGGUAAAAGGAGCAAUCCGGUUUGGGGUGGGCUCGCGUCCGAUUAGAUAGUUGGUGAGGUAACGGCCCACCAAGUCGACGAUCGGUAGCCGACCUGAGAGGGUGAUCGGCCACAUUGGAACUGAGAGACGGUCCAAACUCCUACGGGAGGCAGCAGUGGGGAAUAUUGGGCAAUGGGCGAAAGCCUGAACCCCCAGCAACGCCGCGUGAGUGAAGAAGGCCUUCGGGUUGUAAAGCUCUGUUAUAGUUGACGAAGGAAGUGACGGUAGGCUAUAAGGAAGCCCCGGCUAACUACGUGCCAGCCGCUGC
RNAcentral lists this ribosomal RNA (501 nucleotides) under uncultured bacterium. Its description in RNAcentral is "bacterial SSU rRNA". It matches the Rfam family "Bacterial small subunit ribosomal RNA", at positions 26 to 518 of the family's 1533-position model. The record is from RNAcentral.